RNAcentral lists this small nucleolar RNA (136 nucleotides) under Prolemur simus (greater bamboo lemur). Its description in RNAcentral is "Small nucleolar RNA SNORA20 (ENSPSMG00000022337.1)". It matches the Rfam family "Small nucleolar RNA SNORA20". From Rfam's summary of the family: ACA20 is a member of the H/ACA class of snoRNA that guide the sites of modification of uridines to pseudouridines. Lineage: Eukaryota; Metazoa; Chordata; Mammalia; Primates; Lemuridae. The record is from Rfam by way of RNAcentral.
AAUCCAAAUAGGUGGCAAAAAUGCCAUAGUCUUACAAUGAUAUGAGCAGUUAUACACAUGGGAUAAAAUAAUACUGGGCCAUUAUAAAUUGAGAUGAAGUAAUCAUUUUCAUCUCUUAUGCAUGGACUAGACAUUG